Long non-coding RNA from Vitis vinifera (wine grape), 548 nucleotides. RefSeq lists it as uncharacterized. Lineage: Eukaryota; Viridiplantae; Streptophyta; Magnoliopsida; Vitales; Vitaceae. The transcript has 2 exons. The record is from RefSeq and is a predicted model, not a curated record.
UAGGGGCUUACCAUUACUAAGCUCUGAGAAAUGGCUUAUUCACCUCAACUAUUCUCUUGCUUUCUUUUUACUUUUCUGCUGCUCUUGUUCAUAUCUCCACCUUAAUCUUCAUUAGAUGAUCCUGACAAAAUUAAUAUGACUUUGUACCAUGAAACUCUUUGUCCUAGUUGUAUUCAGUUCAUCAUUGAUGACCUGACAAGUACCUAUGUAAGUGAAAUCAUUCCAAUUACCAUCUCAGGCUGCUUCCCUGGGCCAAUGCUGAGCUGACAGAGGGACAAACACUUCAAGUGCCAGAAUGGCUCAGAUGAAUGCUUGCUAAAUACUGUGGAAGCCUGUGCAAAAUUGAUGUCCCGCCAGAACUGGUAAACCUGCAGGAUCCUACUCAUGGUUUACACCACCCAGUAAACUGCAGAGUUCAUAUCCUUUUUCUUUACAUUAGCUAACGCUCCAGGUACUGAUCCAAUGUGUAAUUGACAUUUUUAGAUGGAAGAUGCAUGUCUCUUAAAUCUAUAUCAAAGUUCUUUAAUUAAAUUCCUAUAUAAAAUUCA